CAAUAGCGUAUAUUAAAGUUGUUGCAGUUAAAAAGCUCGUAGUUGGAUUUCUGACAUGGUGAGCCUAGCCCGGGAAUCGCUUUUGCGUUCUUGUGAGCUGGUGCGCAUCGGUCAUCCUUCAGGAGAGUAUUUCUGCCCUUGAUUGGGUUGGAGGUGUGAUUCCUGAUCGUUUACUUUGAAAAAAUUAGAGUGUUCAAAGCAGGCAUUUUGCUGUGAAUACAUUAGCAUGGAAUAAUAAGAUAGGACUUCGGUUUUAUUUUGUUGGUUUCUAAAGCCGGAAGUAAUGAUUGAUAGGGAUAGUUGGGGGUGCUAGUAUUCAACGGCCAGAGGUGAAAUUCUUGGAUUCGUUGAAGACUAACUUAUGCGAAAGCAUUCACCAAGGAUGUCUUCUUUAA
RNAcentral lists this ribosomal RNA (395 nucleotides) under uncultured eukaryote. Its description in RNAcentral is "partial 18S ribosomal RNA". It matches the Rfam family "Eukaryotic small subunit ribosomal RNA", at positions 592 to 976 of the family's 1831-position model. The record is from RNAcentral.